GGGCACUUGGUGUAGAUGGUUAUCACGCUCGCUUAGCAUGUUAUGUUUGCGAGAGGGGACCGGUUCAAUUCCGGUAGUGUCCA
This 83-nucleotide transfer RNA is filed under the name Gloeophyllum trabeum ATCC 11539. RNAcentral's name for it is "tRNA-Ala". It matches the Rfam family "tRNA". Rfam says of the family: Transfer RNA (tRNA) molecules are approximately 80 nucleotides in length. The record is from RNAcentral. Lineage: Eukaryota; Fungi; Basidiomycota; Agaricomycetes; Gloeophyllales; Gloeophyllaceae.